Molecule: ribosomal RNA, 170 nt
Filed under: uncultured bacterium
Lineage: Bacteria
Description: partial 16S ribosomal RNA
Rfam family: Bacterial small subunit ribosomal RNA
Source: RNAcentral
UCGCUAGUAAUCGCGGAUCAGCAUGCCGCGGUGAAUACGUUCCCGGGCCUUGUACACACCGCCCGUCACACCAUGAGAGUCGGGAACACCCGAAGUCCGUAGCCUGACCGCGAAGGGGGGCGCGGCCGAAGGUGGGUUCGAUAAUUGGGGUGAAGUCGUAACAAGGUACC